RNAcentral lists this small RNA (92 nucleotides) under Jaculus jaculus (lesser Egyptian jerboa). RNAcentral's name for it is "7SK RNA (ENSJJAG00000005542.1)". It matches the Rfam family "7SK RNA", at positions 8 to 99 of the family's 331-position model. From Rfam's summary of the family: 7SK was discovered as an abundant small nuclear RNA in the mid-70s but a possible function has only recently been suggested. Two independent studies have found that 7SK RNA binds the CDK9/cyclin T complex (known as elongation factor P-TEFb). P-TEFb activates transcription by phosphorylating the C-terminal domain of RNA polymerase II. The record is from RNAcentral. Lineage: Eukaryota; Metazoa; Chordata; Mammalia; Rodentia; Dipodidae.
AGGGUGAUGUGGUUGCAACUUGUGUCACCCUAUUGAUCCCCAGGGUUGAGUAGGUUGACCUGGCAGGCUAGGCUGGUUUCUCCUUCCCCCCU